Pocillopora damicornis (cauliflower coral) is the source of this 549-nucleotide long non-coding RNA. The record is from RefSeq and is a predicted model, not a curated record. Lineage: Eukaryota; Metazoa; Cnidaria; Anthozoa; Scleractinia; Pocilloporidae.
GGAUUUGAACCCUCGCCUCGUAAGUGCCCAUUGGUUGAGGAACCCAACUGGGCUACAUAGCCACAUGUUGAGAGCGCGAAAAAAUAUUUCGGGUUCUCUAAAACAUGUGACUUUAUCAUCCUUUUCCUUGUACAGGUGUUUUUACAGUUUCUUUUUUUUUUUAAAUAGUCUCAGGAAAAACACCUCUAUGUGUCACUUCGCAUCACGUUAGGUUGUGUUUACUCAUAUCGUAAAAAUUCUACCUUGAAACAAUGGAUUUAAAGAGGCUUACAUGGAGUUUGUUUCUGUAAUUGGAAAAAAAAAGUUGUUUUUUUUGGUUUUUUAGGUUUCAAAUUUUCUCUCCAUCAUAUAUAUUUGGCUAAGAGUUAUACCACAUAUUUUAAACCUCGUCGAUGAUAUUUAUUGCAUGUUACAUAAUGUAUCUCCACUUUUUAUUCCGGAUUAUAAGAUUAAUCUCGAAUUUUUGUGGUGCUUUUAAUGUUAAAUUUGUGCCCCUACCAAAUAAAAGCGAUGGAAUUAUGGAGUAAAUAAUCGAUUUGUAUCUGUCUA